GAGCUCACAUGGAGCGACAAGCCAGGGAACGCGUCAAGAUGGGAAACUCUGUCCUUUUGUUAAGAACUGCUGUAGGAUGUUUAAGUGUUGCGUUGGGACCAUCUGUCAUGACCUAAUCUUGAUUUCCCAGACUGUUACAUCAACCAGGAUCACCAGACUGGUAAACUAGAGGGUGUUGUCAAGGCCGUUCUUACCAUUGGCUGGAAGUCUCUAUCGUCCUGGGCAGGAGUGGAACAGGAGGCCCUGAGUUCUAAUGUGUAUCUCAUUUCAGCAGGGCGCCUGACACAGCCAGGCUGAGUGAGAUGCUUAUCAAGAGUGGGGUUUGCAUGAGAGAACAUUCAUUCCCAAAGGCAGCUGGUGCCAGACUGAUGGCUGGAUGGAGGACAGGCUGCAGUAUGGACAGGGGCUUCACAUUUGACCCUUUCCCCGUCUCCAUCAAUGUCUGCCAACGGCAAUAAGGAAACACACACAGGCUGAUCUAUCAGGAAAAAUAAAAGUAUUCACUGAUAUAUCAAAGAAAGGUCUUUGGGGACUAGAGCAACGUCUAAAACAAGCAGCAGAAAUACAAUGGGUAUUCAGCAUAAAAUGCUGGGCCUGUGGCCAAAAAGUCAACUGCUUAAGAAGCAGAUGGAGAAAUAUGUCUUAGAAGAGGUGCUGCAAGAAGAGACCUGGGGCUUUUAGUUCACGGCAAGUGAAACCAGUGUGAUGUGCCUGGAAGACUAUAUUCAGGAAGCAUCCAGUGUCUGUAUGGGGCUACCCUGACGGCGUGGCUGGUAAAGAAUCUGUCUGCAAUGUAGAACACACAUGAGAUGCGGGUUCGAUCCCUGGGUCGGGCAGACACCCUGGAGGAGGAAAUGGGCAAUGCAUUCAAUAUUCUCGCCUGAAAAAUCCCAUGGACAGAGGAGCCUGGUGGGUUACAGGCCAAAGGGUUGCCAAGAGUUGGACACCACUGAACGACUAAGCACGCAGUGUCUAUAUAUUCUCUGAUUCAGCAAAUCCUUAUUUCACCAUGCAGUUUGUGCUUCAGGCACUGACUGAGUUGGGCAGUAAAUAUACCAGAGGACCAUUCAGGUGAGGUACCUACCCAUAUAUGGUCCAUAGUUUUCUAGGGCAAAGAAGCAAACACACACAGAUUUGCUGAAACUUGUGACGGACAUAAACGAAGGUCAGAAAGAGUGUGAUGAGGGAUGUACUUUUCCUGGGGUGGCCAGGCCAGGCCAGGCCUCUCUGGGAAAGUGGCAUUGAAGCCAAGACCAUAUGAAGGGGAAGGGGAGACAGGGAGAUGGAACAUUCCAGGCAGGACAAGGGGUC
This is a long non-coding RNA of Bos taurus (domestic cattle), 1311 nucleotides long. The record is from Ensembl. Lineage: Eukaryota; Metazoa; Chordata; Mammalia; Artiodactyla; Bovidae.